AGAAGGGGAGGAGGUGGGUUGUGGACGGGGACAGGAGUACCCCUUGAACCCCCAACCUCUCUGGAUUGAUCAAAGAGGGGCUAGCUGGUUGAUGGAAUGAGUGGGGGCGGAGAAGAGAGAGAGAGAGAGUGCUCACCAGGCUGGGAAAGAUCCAGAACCUCGUUAAUGUCUGACACCUCCAAUAAAAGCUGCAUAUUCCCCAAAAGCGAUUUUUGAAAGUCCUAAGCUCUUUGAAGCUUGGUGUUUAACAGCCACUCCUUCCACGCACUUAAUAGGAAACCAAGCCCCUUGGCUUGCUCACCGGACUCCACCUGGGGCAACUCCCCUCCUCCAAGCAUUUGAGGUCCUGUGUGGGGACCCUUGAAGCUUCUGUGGCUUGGCAUGAAAGGCAGCCCUUGGUCCCUACAGAAUGAAGGGGAGCUGCCCCCAGGGGCGAUGACUAGGUGGAAACUGAGGCACAGAGGCUGCAGCGGGUCAGAGUUGGGGGAAGGGAGCAGGGAUGAGAUCUGGAAGUUGGAAGGUGGAUGGAACUGAGAAGUAUGGUUAAGCCCAGGCAGACGGUUUCCCAUCUCUACUUCCUCUUUCUCCUUCCUCCUCCACUUCUUCCUCCUCCAUUUGACUGAAAAAGCAGCACACGCUUAUAUGCUAAAGUAGAAGCAUAAUGAAAACUAAGUCCCCCUUUACUGCAGGCCACCUAUCUCCCCAAAUGCAGGCAAUUUAGUAUUAUCAGCAUUUGCGUAUCAUUUAAAAAUAUUCUGGCCAGGGUGUAGUUCAGUGUCUGAGAGCUUGCUAUCAUGUGUAAGGCCCUUUGUUCAAUUCCCA
Molecule: long non-coding RNA, 822 nt
Filed under: Marmota monax (woodchuck)
Lineage: Eukaryota; Metazoa; Chordata; Mammalia; Rodentia; Sciuridae
Source: RNAcentral